Molecule: ribosomal RNA, 822 nt
Filed under: Triticum aestivum (bread wheat)
Lineage: Eukaryota; Viridiplantae; Streptophyta; Magnoliopsida; Poales; Poaceae
Description: partial small subunit ribosomal RNA
Source: RNAcentral
AUGGGGGAUAAAGAAAAGGAUCGUUUAAGGCUGAGAACUACGAUUGCGGUUGUAAAGUGGCUCACAUUUCAGUCUUGUGCUUUAAGAGGCCAUGAUGAGAGGCCGGAGUCAAGAAACAGAGGUAACUUUCUUGAGAUGUUGAAGCUUCUUGCAGAAUUCUGCCCUGAUGUUCAAGUUGUAGUUCUUGGCAAUGCUCCACAAGUUUGCAAAUACACAUCACACGAAAUUCAAAAUGAGAUCUUGAGCAUUUAUGCUAUGAAAGUCAGGGAGCAUAUUCGAGCAGAAAUUGGGGACUCAAAGUACUCUAUUCUUGUGGAUGAAACAUGUGAUGUGUCCAAAAGAGAGCAAAUGGCACUAGUUUUCAGAUUUGUUGAUAAAGAUGGUUAUUCCCAAGAAAGAUUCUUUCAUCUCAUACAUGUAUCCAACACAAAAGCACUGACACUAAAGAUGGAGUUGUGUAAAGUAUUAUCCAAGCAUGGAUUUGAUGUACAAAAUCUUCGAGGCCAGGGGUACGAUGGGGCAAGCAACAUGAGGGGAGAGUUGAAUGGAUUGCAAGCUCUAUUCAUUAAAGAUUGUCCCUAUGCAUAUUAUGUUCAUUGCUAUCCUCAUCGGUUGCAACUCUCCCUUGUUGGUGCAGCAAGAGAUGUGGUUCCAAUCACCCAAUUUUUUCAGAAACUUCACUUUGUUAUGAACACAGUUGACUCCUCUUCAAAGCGACAUGAUGAGUUGCAUGACGCCCAGGUGGUUGAGAUUGCACGCUUGCUUGCUAUCGAUCAGAUUGAAACAGGCAAAGGAGCCAAUCAAAUACGCUCAUUGAAGUGA